AAUAAAGUUCGUUAAGUGAGGCUCCUAUGCGGAUACAUGCUGAUGCCCGGAAACAUCGAGAGAUGCCAAUGGGUCAACAGAUUCUACCGUUACAAGGUUUAAUCUAAUUCAGCCGGUACUACCUAUGCCGCAUAGUGCUAAAACCCAACGAGUGUGUUGAGAU
This 163-nucleotide small RNA is filed under the name Thermoanaerobacterium saccharolyticum. RNAcentral's name for it is "Magnesium sequence". It matches the Rfam family "M-box riboswitch aptamer (ykoK leader)". Rfam says of the family: M-box riboswitch, also know as ykoK leader is described as a metaloregulatory RNA that sense divalent metals and function as a genetic control element of genes related to divalent metal transport in bacteria. It was first reported upstream of the B.subtilis ykoK gene and genes with related functions in other bacteria. Lineage: Bacteria; Bacillati; Bacillota; Clostridia; Thermoanaerobacterales; Thermoanaerobacteraceae. The record is from RNAcentral.